CCUAAUUCUACUCCCCCUCUUUUUUUGGUAAAUGGGAGCGUUGAGAUUGAAGAAUUGAGAAGGAUGAAGGCCUACAUGACAAGGAGCAAGGAACUCUGAUGAAGGUAUGGAGAAGUUCAUGCGUGGUGAUGUCCUUUAAUUUGAAAGCCUUAUAGAAAUAUUUUGAUAUGUUGGUGUUGUAUGUAGGAUUUUCAUUUGGAGGAUGAUAUUAGUGUGUUUUGAAGAAUGUUGUAGCUUUUUAGAUGUUGGAGAUGUUGUAAUGGAUCUUAUUUGUAAAUGUUGGAUGGUUGAUUAUUAUCAAUGUUGAAAUGGGCAUCUUCAAUA
Salvia miltiorrhiza (redroot sage) is the source of this 324-nucleotide long non-coding RNA. RefSeq lists it as uncharacterized. The transcript is spliced from 2 exons. The record is from RefSeq and is a predicted model, not a curated record. Lineage: Eukaryota; Viridiplantae; Streptophyta; Magnoliopsida; Lamiales; Lamiaceae.